AAAAACAUAACUAUAUGAAUCUACUAUAUAUAGCUAUUUCUGCUCAAUGAUAAUUUUAAAUAGCCGCAGUAAUUUGACUGUGCUAAGGUAGCAUAAUCAAUUGACUUAUAAUUAAAGUCUGGUAUGAAGGAACACAUGGGGGUUUACUGUCUCCUGAGAGGCCUUUAAAAUUAAUUAUUGGGUGAAAAUGCCCAUUUAUAAAUAAUAGACGAGAAGACCCUAGAAAUUUUUAGUAGAAAGAUAAUUUUAUCUUUUUGUUUUUGUUGGGGCGACAUAGUAACAAAAGAAAACUUACUGUAUAAUAUGUGUCGAUUUUUUAAUAAGAAAAAAUAAAUUACUCUAGGGAUAACAGCAUAAUAUUUAAAAGUUUGUGACCUCGAUGUUGGAUUAGGGAAUAAUAACCCAGAAGGUGACUUAUUUAGCUCUGUUCGAGCAAAAUCCCCUACGUGAUCUGA
Molecule: ribosomal RNA, 455 nt
Filed under: Trichobradybaena submissa
Lineage: Eukaryota; Metazoa; Mollusca; Gastropoda; Stylommatophora; Camaenidae
Description: partial large subunit ribosomal RNA
Rfam family: Bacterial large subunit ribosomal RNA
Source: RNAcentral